GAUGAACGCUGGCGGCGUGCCUAAUACAUGCAAGUCGAGCGAACAGACGAGGAGCUUGCGCCUCGGACGUUAGCGGCGGACGGGUGUGUAACACGUGGAUAACCUACCUAUAAGAGUGGGAUAAUUUCGGGAAACCGGAUCUAAUACCGGAGAAGAUAUUGAACCGCAGGGGGGAAUAGUAAAAUACGGUUUUGCGGGCACUUCUAGAUGGAUCCCCGCCGCUUUAGCUGGUUGGUAAGGUAACGGCUUACGAAGGGAACGAUGCGUAGCCGACCUGAGGGGCUGAUCGGCCACCCUGGAACGGAGCCACGGUCCAGACUCCUACGGGACGCCGCAGUCGGGAAUCUUCCGCAAUGGGCGAAAGCCUGACGCAACAACGCCGCGUGAGUGGUGAAGGUCUUCGGAUCGUAAAACUCUGUUAUUAGGGAAGAACAAAUGUGUAAGUAACUAUGCACGUCUUGACGGUACCUAAUAAGAAAGCCCCGGCUAACUACGUG
Molecule: ribosomal RNA, 497 nt
Filed under: uncultured bacterium
Lineage: Bacteria
Description: partial 16S ribosomal RNA
Rfam family: Bacterial small subunit ribosomal RNA
Source: RNAcentral